This is a non-coding RNA of Leptonychotes weddellii (Weddell seal), 380 nucleotides long. NCBI's taxonomy places the organism in Eukaryota, Metazoa, Chordata, Mammalia, Carnivora, Phocidae. The record is from RefSeq and is a predicted model, not a curated record.
CCAGGGGCUGCUUUCCCAGGCACAAGUGCACCAGGGAGUCGACACUCCUCCGGCCCAGCCGGCCGCCUCUCCCCAGACACCACCAGGUUUCUUUGGCGAACAUGAAGGAGAGCAGAAUACGAAUUUGGAGACCUAAAACUUCCUUCUGGUGCCCUCCCCGUCUCCCUGCCCCUGCAAUGACAAUGUUGAAGGAGAGGAGCACAUGAAAACCAAACAGAACGCGAUGCGUAUACCAACGGGGGGCUCUUGAAGAAGCAAGCCAACAACGGAUAACCGUUUCUGGGACAUGUUUUGGAAGGAUUGCUGAAUUCCACGCCAGGAGGCUGCAAACCCCUUCUCAGUGGAGCACCUUGCGGGAGUGCGGGAUGGUGGGGGGCGAA